This 256-nucleotide unclassified non-coding RNA is filed under the name Hevea brasiliensis (rubber tree). The record is from RNAcentral. Lineage: Eukaryota; Viridiplantae; Streptophyta; Magnoliopsida; Malpighiales; Euphorbiaceae.
UAUUAGAAUGGUAACUUGUAAAUACUAAAAUAAACUAGACUAUUGUAAUAGAAUACUCAAUGUGUAAUGUAACAGGAUUUUAGAAAAAUAAAAUUCAUUGCAUGUAUUGAUUGUUUCCUUAAAAAAUAAUAUUUAAGAGGGGUUAAAAAAUUUGGCAUGGGCAGUGUAUUUGAUGGAGUUAGGAAUUUAAAUGAAGGAGAAGAAUGAAAAUAUUCUUUUAUUUCCACUGACUGAGCAUAAGAAUAAUGAUAUUCAA